GAUGAACGCUGGCGGCGUGCCUAAUACAUGCAAGUCGAGCGAACAGACGAGGAGCUUGCUCCUCUGACGUUAGCGGCGGACGGGUGAGUAACACGUGGAUAACCUACCUAUAAGACUGGGAUAACUUCGGGAAACCGGAUCUAAUACCGGAUAAUAUAUUGAACCGCAUGGUUCAAUAGUGAAAGACGGUUUUGCUGUCACUUAUAGAUGGAUCCGCGCCGCAUUAGCUAGUUGGUAAGGUAACGGCUUACCAAGGCAACGAUGCGUAGCCGACCUGAGAGGGUGAUCGGCCACACUGGAACUGAGACACGGUCCAGACUCCUACGGGAGGCAGCAGUAGGGAAUCUUCCGCAAUGGGCGAAAGCCUGACGGAGCAACGCCGCGUGAGUGAUGAAGGUCUUCGGAUCGUAAAACUCUGUUAUUAGGGAAGAACAAAUGUGUAAGUAAAUAUGCACGUCUUGACGGUAACUAAUCAGAAAGCCACGGCUAACUACGUG
Molecule: ribosomal RNA, 497 nt
Filed under: uncultured bacterium
Lineage: Bacteria
Description: partial 16S ribosomal RNA
Rfam family: Bacterial small subunit ribosomal RNA
Source: RNAcentral